This 792-nucleotide ribosomal RNA is filed under the name uncultured bacterium. RNAcentral's name for it is "bacterial SSU rRNA". It matches the Rfam family "Bacterial small subunit ribosomal RNA", at positions 26 to 808 of the family's 1533-position model. The record is from RNAcentral.
AUUUUGAACGCUUAGCGGCAGGCUUAAUACAUGCAAGUCGUGGGGCAGCAUGAAUGUAGCAAUACAUUUGAUGGCGACCGGCAAACGGGUGCGGAACACGUACACAACCUUCCUAUAAGUGGGGAAUAGCCCAGAGAAAUUUGGAUUAAUACCCCGUAACAUAACGAUGUGGCAUCACAUUGUUAUUAUAGCUUCGGCGCUUAUUGAUGGGUGUGCGGCUGAUUAGAUAGUUGGCGGGGUAACGGCCCACCAAGUCUACGAUCAGUAGCUGAUGUGAGAGCAUGAUCAGCCACACGGGCACUGAGACACGGGCCCGACUCCUACGGGAGGCAGCAGUAAGGAAUAUUGGUCAAUGGACGCAAGUCUGAACCAGCCAUGCCGCGUGAAGGAUUAAGGUCCUCUGGAUUGUAAACUUCUUUUAUCUGGGACGAAAAAAGGCGAUUCUUCGUCACUUGACGGUACCAGAUGAAUAAGCACCGGCUAACUCCGUGCCAGCAGCCGCGGUAAUACGGAGGGUGCAAGCGUUAUCCGGAUUCACUGGGUUUAAAGGGUGCGUAGGCGGGCAGGUAAGUCAGUGGUGAAAUCCUGGAGCUUAACUCCAGAACUGCCAUUGAUACUAUCUGUCUUGAAUAUUGUGGAGGUAAGCGGAAUAUGUCAUGUAGCGGUGAAAUGCUUAGAUAUGACAUAGAACACCUAUUGCGAAGGCAGCUUACUACGCAUAUAUUGACGCUGAGGCACGAAAGCGUGGGGAUCAAACAGGAUUAGAUACCCUGGUAGUCCACGCCCUAAACG